AUUGAACGCUGGCGGCAUGCUUUACACAUGCAAGUCGAACGGCAGCGCGGGCUUCGGCCUGGCGGCGAGUGGCGAACGGGUGAGUAAUGCAUUGGAACGUGCCCAGUAGUGGGGGAUAGCCCGGCGAAAGCCGGAUUAAUACCGCAUACGACCUGAGGGUGAAAGCGGGGGACCGAAAGGCCUCGCGCUCUUGGAGCGGCCGAUGUCGGAUUAGCUAGUUGGUGGGGUAAAGGCUUACCAAGGCGACGAUCCGUAGCUGGUCUGAGAGGACGACCAGCCGCACUGGGACUGAGACACGGCCCAGACUCCUACGGGAGGCAGCAGUGGGGAAUUUUGGACAAUGGGGGCAACCCUGAUCCAGCCAUGCCGCGUGCGGGAAGAAGGCCUUCGGGUUGUAAACCGCUUUUGUUCGGGAAGAAAUCCUCUGGGCUAAUACCCCGGGGGGAUGACGGUACCGGAAGAAUAAGCACCGGCUAACUACGUG
RNAcentral lists this ribosomal RNA (484 nucleotides) under uncultured bacterium. RNAcentral's name for it is "partial 16S ribosomal RNA". It matches the Rfam family "Bacterial small subunit ribosomal RNA", at positions 28 to 507 of the family's 1533-position model. The record is from RNAcentral.